UUUCUACUCCCUCCGUCCGAAAAUACUUGUCAUCAAAAUGGAUAAAAAGAGAUGUAUCUACGUAUCUAAAACUGAAAUACGUCUAGAUACAUUUCCUUUUAUGCAUUUUGAUGACAAGUAUUUCUAGACGGAGGGAGUAUUUG
This is a non-coding RNA of Triticum urartu, 143 nucleotides long. The record is from Rfam. NCBI's taxonomy places the organism in Eukaryota, Viridiplantae, Streptophyta, Magnoliopsida, Poales, Poaceae.